This 352-nucleotide ribosomal RNA is filed under the name uncultured bacterium. RNAcentral's name for it is "bacterial SSU rRNA". It matches the Rfam family "Bacterial small subunit ribosomal RNA", at positions 29 to 372 of the family's 1533-position model. The record is from RNAcentral.
AACGAACGCUGGCGGCGCGCCUAACACAUGCAAGUCGAACGAGAAGGCGUAGCAAUACGCUUGUAGAGUGGCGAACGGGUGAGUAAUACGUGGGUGACCUACCCUCGAGUGGGGAAUAACCCGCCGAAAGGCGGGCUAAUGCCGCGUACGCUUCCGUCCUCACGGGGACGGAAGGAAAGCUGUACCGUGGGUACGGCGCUCAAGGAUGGGCUCACGUCCUAUCAGCUUGUUGGUAGGGUAACGGCCACCAAGGCUACGACGGGUAGCUGGUCUGAGAGGACGACCAGCCACACUGGGACUGAGACACGGCCCAGACUCCUACGGGAGGCAGCAGUGGGGAAUAUUGGACAAU